CGAGGCAGCAGUGAGGAAUAUUGGUCAAUGGGCGCGAGCCUGAACCAGCCAAGUAGCGUGAAGGAUGACUGCCCUACGGGUUGUAAACUUCUUUUAUAAAGGAAUAAAGUGAGGCACGUGUGCCUUUUUGUAUGUACUUUAUGAAUAAGGAUCGGCUAACUCCGUGCCAGCAGCCGCAGUAAUACGGAGGAUCCGAGCGUUAUCCGGAUUUAUUGGGCUUAAAGGGAGCGUAGAUGGGUUGUUAAGUCAGUUGUGAAAGUUUGCGGCUCAACCGUAAAAUUGCAAUUGAUACUGGCAGCCUUGAG
RNAcentral lists this ribosomal RNA (305 nucleotides) under uncultured bacterium. RNAcentral's name for it is "bacterial SSU rRNA". It matches the Rfam family "Bacterial small subunit ribosomal RNA", at positions 344 to 646 of the family's 1533-position model. The record is from RNAcentral.